UGGCUCAGGACGAGCGCUGGCGGCGUGCCUAACACAUGCAAGUCGAGCGAUGAAGCUUCCUUCGGGAAGUGGAUUAGCGGCGGACGGGUGAGUAACACGUGGGUAACCUGCCUCAAAGUGGGGAAUAGCCUUCCGAAAGGAAGAUUAAUACCGCAUAACGUAAGAGAAUCGCAUGAUUUUCUUACCAAAGAUUUAUCGCUUUGAGAUGGACCCGCGGCGCAUUAGCUAGUUGGUGAGGUAACUGCUCACCAAGGCAACGAUGCGUAGCCGACCUGAGAGGGUGAUCGGCCACAUUGGAACUGAGACACGGUCCAGACUCCUACGGGAGGCAGCAGUGGGGAAUAUUGCGCAAUGGGGGAAACCCUGACGCAGCAACGCCGCGUGAGUGAUGAAGGUCUUCGGAUUGUAAAGCUCUGUUUUCUAGGACGAUAAUGACGGUACUAGAAGAGGAAGCCACGGCUAACUACGUGCCAGCAGCCGCGGUAAUACGUAGGUGGCGAGCGUUGUCCGGAUUUACUGGGCGUAAAGGGUGCGUAGGCGGAUUCUUAAGUGGGAUGUGAAAUACCCGAGCUUAACUUGGGUGCUGCAUUCCAAACUGGG
RNAcentral lists this ribosomal RNA (600 nucleotides) under uncultured Clostridium sp. Its description in RNAcentral is "bacterial SSU rRNA". It matches the Rfam family "Bacterial small subunit ribosomal RNA", at positions 20 to 637 of the family's 1533-position model. Lineage: Bacteria; Bacillati; Bacillota; Clostridia; Eubacteriales; Clostridiaceae. The record is from RNAcentral.